Molecule: long non-coding RNA, 247 nt
Organism: Mugil cephalus (flathead mullet)
Lineage: Eukaryota; Metazoa; Chordata; Actinopteri; Mugiliformes; Mugilidae
Exons: 4
Source: RefSeq, a predicted model, not a curated record
GCCACCCUGUCACAAGUGACACGGGCCCUGAUGCUAAGAGGAGGCGCAUAGACCCUGCAGUGAAGGUGCAAGGCCCUAACAGGUCCUUCCAGCAUGAUGGGGAUUCUGCUAUGGACUGGGAACCUUCUGUCAGUGCAGGUCCAUCAGUGUCCUCCACUGACCAAGAUGUCGUCCCAAUGGAGGUAGAUGAGCAGAGCAGCAGCUCUCCGCCUUCGGCUGCGCAGAAGAAUUUAAAGAUUUCUCUAUC